RNAcentral lists this ribosomal RNA (198 nucleotides) under uncultured bacterium. RNAcentral describes it as "partial 16S ribosomal RNA". It matches the Rfam family "Bacterial small subunit ribosomal RNA", at positions 1303 to 1500 of the family's 1533-position model. The record is from RNAcentral.
GGCUGAAAUUCGCCUUCAUGAAGCCGGAAUUGCUAGUAAUGGCAGGUCAGCAUACUGCCGUGAAUACGUUCCCGGGUCUUGUACACACCGCCCGUCACACCAUGGGAGUCGGUAACACCCAAAGUUGGUAGCCUAACCGCAAGGAGGGCGCCGCCUAAGGUGGGAUUGAUGACUGGGGUGAAGUCGUAACAAGGUAUC